RNAcentral lists this ribosomal RNA (499 nucleotides) under uncultured bacterium. Its description in RNAcentral is "partial 16S ribosomal RNA". It matches the Rfam family "Bacterial small subunit ribosomal RNA", at positions 28 to 507 of the family's 1533-position model. The record is from RNAcentral.
GACGAACGCUGGCGGCGUGCCUAAUACAUGCAAGUCGAGCGAAGUUUUUCUGGUGCUUGCACCGGAAAAACUUAGCGGCGAACGGGUGAGUAACACGUAAAGAACCUGCCUCAUAGACUGGGACAACUAUUGGAAACGAUAGCUAAUACCGGAUAACAGCAUUAACUGCAUGGUUGAUGUUUAAAAGUUGGUUUUGCUAACACUAUGAGAUGGCUUUGCGGUGCAUUAGCUAGUUGGUGGGGUAAAGGCCUACCAAGGCGACGAUGCAUAGCCGACCUGAGAGGGUGAUCGGCCACACGGGGACUGAGACACGGCCCAGACUCCUACGGGAGGCAGCAGUAGGGAAUCUUCCGCAAUGGGCGAAAGCCUGACGGAGCAACGCCGCGUGAGGGAAGAAGGAUUUCGGUUCGGAAAGCUCUGUUGUUAGGGAAGAAGGAUUGUGUAGUAACUAUACACAGUAGAGACGGUACCUAACCAGAAAGCCACGGCUAACUACGUG